Non-coding RNA from Electrophorus electricus (electric eel), 205 nucleotides. The record is from RefSeq and is a predicted model, not a curated record. NCBI's taxonomy places the organism in Eukaryota, Metazoa, Chordata, Actinopteri, Gymnotiformes, Gymnotidae.
UUUCAUUUCUGAAGCGCGAGGUUCAAGUGUGACAUUUAGCGUCAUGCUAUUCUGCAGCAGAUGUCACUUUGUUUUGCUGUUACAGCUGCUGACAGUCAUAGCAGGCUCUUUUCCUUCAGUAAAGGUAAAUCUUCAUGAUGCUGCUACUCUCCCCUGCACUCAGACGUGUUCUGGUCUGGUCACAUGGACUGUGUCCUAUAAACAA